AUGAAGCAGGAUUCGUUCGUGGUGCGUAGGAGGAAUCCGGAGCUGGUAGCACCGGCGCGAGCGACGCCGAGAGAGACCAAGCCGCUGUCCGACCUAGACAACGACUGGUUUCUGCGCUACAUCCAGCCAUGUCUCGAGUUCUUCCGUGCGGUCGAUGAUGACGACGGCCACCACCAUCACCGCCGCUGCCCGGCGGACGCCAUCAAGGCGGCCCUCGCCGAGGCCCUCGUGUACUACUACCCGAUGGCCGGACGCCUGCGAGAACAGCCCAACGGGAAGCUCUCCGUGGAGUGCACCGGCGAAGGGGUGGUGUUCGUGGAGGCGAAGGCGGACGUUCGGAUCGAGGACAUGGGCGAGCCACCUAUGCCGCUUUUCCGAGGAUCUGAUGAGUUCCUUUGCGAUGUUGGAGAUGCCAAAGUCAUCGUUGGGAGGCCAUUGUUCUUCAUGCAGAUCACUCAACUCAAAUGCGGUGGAUUUGUCCUUGGAACCUACCAUUGUCAUUGCAUAGCUGAUGGAUCCGGCAUAUUUCAGUUAUUAAAAGCAAUAUUUGAUAUAGCACGUGGUGAGGCAAAGCCAACGGUACUGCCUGUUUGGGACAGGGAGCUCUUUGUGGCAACAAGUCUAUCACCCCACAUCAUUGAAGAACACCAAACAUUAUUUGAUGAACUGGAGAACGCCAUUUGUGAUGACAUUAUGGUGACUAUGCCCACCGAAAAUAUGGUUUCUGAAUACUUCACCAUCUCUGAAAAACAGAUGUCGUGCCUAUGGCGUUAUGUCCCUUUGAAUCUCACAAAAACAAUCACAAGUUUUGAGUUACUAACUGCAGUUUUGUGGCGGUGCCGCACCGUGGCACUAGGCUAUAAGCCUUGGCAGAAUGUACUCUUAAAGAUAAUCAUAAAUGCGCGGGGGAGAUGGAGAAAACUUCCUUUGGGAUACUAUGGCAAUGGGCUAAUGUACCCUAUAGUUGAGACAACAGUCAAAGAGUUGUGCACAAACCCGCUUGAACACACAAUUGAACUUGUCCGCAAGGCUAAACACAAGAUAAGGACAGAAGAGAAUAUGCAAUUGAUGGUGGAUGUGAUGCCAUUAUGGUAUGAGAAACCGUAUAUCAAAGUACAGAGAAUAUUUGAAACAUGUGAUAUAAAAUGGAUUGGGCAGGACACUUUAGAUAUUGGAUGGGCUAAGCGAAUUGGGGGCGGUAUACCAACUGUUAAUCUACCAGAUACGACAAGUUACCAAUUCAGGUUCAAGAAUGAAAAAAAUGAGAAGCCAAUCGUCAUCUCCAUGUUGUUGCCACGGCCUGCAAUGGAUAUAUUCAAAGAGGAGAUGGCUGCUUGGUUAAAUGAAUACUCCAUCCGUCCCAAAAUGUAAGGUGCAUAAG
Molecule: long non-coding RNA, 1381 nt
Filed under: Oryza sativa Indica Group (long-grained rice)
Lineage: Eukaryota; Viridiplantae; Streptophyta; Magnoliopsida; Poales; Poaceae
Description: lncRNA OsMH63_12G012450
Source: RNAcentral